CCUACGGGAGGCAGCAGUGGGGAAUAUUGCACAAUGGGGGAAACCCUGAUGCAGCGACGCCGCGUGAGUGAAGAAGUAUUUCGGUAUGUAAAGCUCUAUCAGCAGGGAAGAAAAUGACGGUACCUGAUUAAGAAGCCCCGACUAACUACGUGCCAGCAGCCGCGGUAAUACGUAGGGGGCAAGCGGUAUCCGGAUUUACUGGGUGUAAAGGGAGCGUAGACGGCAGGACAAGUCUGGAGUGAAAUGCCGGGGCUUAACCACGGAACUGCUUUUGAAACUGGGCAGCUAGAGUGCAGGAGAGGUAAGUGGAAUUCGUGGUGUAGCGGUGAAAUGCUUAGAUAUUAGGAGGAACACCAGUUGCGAAGGCAGCUUACUGGACUGUAACUGACGUUGAGGCUCGAAAGCGUGGGGAUCAAACAGGAUUAGAUACCCCUGUAGUC
RNAcentral lists this ribosomal RNA (440 nucleotides) under uncultured bacterium. RNAcentral's name for it is "partial 16S ribosomal RNA". It matches the Rfam family "Bacterial small subunit ribosomal RNA", at positions 338 to 795 of the family's 1533-position model. The record is from RNAcentral.